This 983-nucleotide small RNA is filed under the name Pan troglodytes (chimpanzee). Its description in RNAcentral is "processed transcript". The record is from RNAcentral. Lineage: Eukaryota; Metazoa; Chordata; Mammalia; Primates; Hominidae.
GAGCGGCGGGGCUGAGGCGCGGCGGCCCCGCGGAGCAGCGCAGUAUGGCGGGCGGGGCCCGGGAGGUGCUGACACUGCAGUUGGGACAUUUUGCCGGUUUCGUGGGCGCGCACUGGUGGAACCAGCAGGAUGCUGCGCUGGGCCGAGCGACCGAUUCCAAGGAGCCCCCGGGAGAGCUGUGCCCCGACGUCCUGUAUCGUACGGGCCGGACGCUGCACGGCCAGGAGACCUACACGCCGCGACUCAUCCUCAUGGAUCUGAAGGGUAGUUUGAGCUCCCUAAAAGAGGAAGGUGGACUCUACAGGGACAAACAGUUGGAUGCUGCAAUAGCAUGGCAGGGGAAACUCACCACACACAAAGAGGAACUCUAUCCCAAGAACCCUUAUCUCCAAGACUUUCUGAGUGCAGAGGUGAGGGCCUCUGUCCUGAACUUUUUAACCCAGUGCUACAACCCAAGGGUCUCCAUAGGGGCAGGGAGUGCUGAGUAGUGAUGGUGUUUGGAGGGUCAAAUCCAUUCCCAAUGGCAAAGGUUCCUCACCACUCACCACCGCUACAACUCCAAAACCACUUAUCCCUACAGAGGCCAGCAUCAGGGUCUGGUCAGACUUCCUCAGAGUCCAUCUCCAUCCCCGGAGCAUCUGUAUGAUUCAGAAGUACAACCACGAUGGGACAAGAGGCUGAGGAGUUGAGGGAAGAGAUGUAAGUCUUGGAUCGUGUUUACUUGUGGCAGGGAAGCAGGUCGGCUGGAGGCUUUUGGCCAAGGGGAAAGUGUCCUAAAGGAACCCAAGUACCAGGAAGAGCUGGAGGACAGGCUGCACUUCUACGUGGAGGAAUGUGACUACUUGCAGGGCUUCCAGAUCCUGUGUGACCUGCACGAUGGCUUCUCUGGGGUAGGCGCGAAGGCGGCAGAGCUGCUACAAGAUGAAUAUUCAGGGCGGGGAAUAAUAACUUGGGGCCUGCUACCUGGUCCCUACCAUCGUGGG